Molecule: long non-coding RNA, 472 nt
Filed under: Lupinus mutabilis
Lineage: Eukaryota; Viridiplantae; Streptophyta; Magnoliopsida; Fabales; Fabaceae
Description: partial ncRNA
Source: RNAcentral
AAUGUGCUACUGCAAUAGGUUUGUCGUCGUUAACACAUCAAAUAUUAGGAAGAAUCCAAACAAGAAGUUCUAUGGGCGUCCAUAUUUUAAGGUUUGUGCAUUUAUUUAUUUUUUAUCUAUUUUGAUGCUAUUUUUUGUUCUUCACACUUUUUCUUUAAUUUUCAGGAAGGAAAAACGUGUUGUGUUAAGUUUCUCUGCUGGGUUGAAGAUUGGGAAAAAAAAUCAAGUCAUGAUGGAAGAUAAUAGAGUAGAUAAUAGAAUUGACAUGGAUGAGAUGUAUGCUAGUUUGAAAGAAAUUAAAUUGAUGAUCAAAGAGCAUGUGAAUUGGAGCAGAAAGGUUGUUGUUUUAGGAUUUGUGUUUAGUUUCGUAGCAUGGUUUUUUAUGUUCUUUAAGUUGAUGUAUUUUGUUGAGUUAUUGUUUAGUUGCAAAAUUGGUGUACUUUAAUGUUAAUGUUUAGUUGAAUUGUUGCAC